GUGAACUCGAAGAGUAGGGCGGGACACGUGGUAUCCUGUCUGAAUAUGGGGGGACCAUCCUCCAAGGCUAAAUACUCCUGACUGACCGAUAGUGAACCAGUACCGUGAGGGAAAGGCGAAAAGAACCCCGGCGAGGGGAGUGAAAAAGAACCUGAAACCGUGUACGUACAAGCAGUGGGAGCACCUUCGGGUGUGACUGCGUACCUUUUGUAUAAUGGGUCAGCGACUUAUAUUCUGUAGCAAGGUUAACCGUAUAGGGGAGCCGCAGGGAAACCGAGUCUUAACUGGGCGUUAAGUUGCAGGGUAUAGACCCGAAACCCGGUGAUCUAGCCAUGGGCAGGUUGAAGGUUGGGUAACACUAACUGGAGGACCGAACCGACUAAUGUUGAAAAAUUAGCGGAUGACUUGUGGCUGGGGGUGAAAGGCCAAUCAAACCGGGAGAUAGCUGGUUCUCCCCGAAAGCUAUUUAGGUAGCGCCUCGUGAAUUCAUCUUCGGGGGUAGAGCACUGUUUCGGCUAGGGGGUCAUCCCGACUUACCAACCCGAUGCAAACUACGAAUACCGAAGAAUGUUAUCACGGGAGACACACGGCGGGUGCUAACGUCCGUCGUGAAGAGGGAAACAACCCAGACCGCCAGCUAAGGUCCCAAAGUCAUGGUUAAGUGGGAAACGAUGUGGGAAGGCACAGACAGCCAGGAUGUUGGCUUAGAAGCAGCCAUCAUUUAAAGAAAGCGUAAUAGCUCACUGGUCGAGUCGGCCUGCGCGGAAGAUGUAACGGGGCUAAACCAUGCACCGAAGCUGCGGCAGCGACACUAUGUGUUGUUGGGUAGGGGAGCGUUCUGUAAGCCUGCGAAGGUGACCUGUGAGGGUUGCUGGAGGUAUCAGAAGUGCGAAUGCUGACAUAAGUAACGAUAAAGCGGGUGAAAAGCCCGCUCGCCGGAAGACCAAGGGUUCCUGUCCAACGUUAAUCGGGGCAGGGUGAGUCGACCCCUAAGGCGAGGCCGAAAGGCGUAGUCGAUGGGAAACAGGUUAAUAUUCCUGUACUUGGUGUUACUGCGAAGGGGGGACGGAGAAGGCUAUGUUAGCCGGGCGACGGUUGUCCCGGUUUAAGCAUGUAGGCUGGUUGUCCAGGCAAAUCCGGAUAAUCAAGGCUGAGGUGUGAUGACGAGGCACUACGGUGCUGAAGUAACAAAUGCCCUGCUUCCAGGAAAAGCCUCUAAGCAUCAGGUAACAUUAAAUCGUACCCCAAACCGACACAGGUGGUCAGGUAGAGAAUACCAAGGCGCUUGAGAGAACUCGGGUGAAGGAACUAGGCAAAAUGGUGCCGUAACUUCGGGAGAAGGCACGCUGGUGUGUAGGUGAAGUCCCUGCGGAUGGAGCUGAGACCAGUCGAAGAUACCAGCUGGCUGCAACUGUUUAUUAAAAACACAGCACUGUGCAAACACGAAAGUGGACGUAUACGGUGUGACGCCUGCCCGGUGCCGGAAGGUUAAUUGAUGGGGUUAUCCGUAAGGAGAAGCUCUUGAUCGAAGCCCCGGUAAACGGCGGCCGUAACUAUAACGGUCCUAAGGUAGCGAAAUUCCUUGUCGGGUAAGUUCCGACCUGCACGAAUGGCGUAAUGAUGGCCAGGCUGUCUCCACCCGAGACUCAGUGAAAUUGAACUCGCUGUGAAGAUGCAGUGUACCCGCGGCAAGACGGAAAGACCCCGUGAACCUUUACUAUAGCUUGACACUGAACAUUGAGCCUUGAUGUGUAGGAUAGGUGGGAGGCUUUGAAGCGUGGACGCCAGUCUGCGUGGAGCCAACCUUGAAAUACCACCCUUUAAUGUUUGAUGUUCUAACGUUGGCCCCUUACCGGGGUUGCGGACAGUGUCUGGUGGGUAGUUUGACUGGGGCGGUCUCCUCCCAAAGCGUAACGGAGGAGCACGAAGGUUAGCUAAUCCUGGUCGGACAUCAGGAGGUUAGUGCAAUGGCAUAAGCUAGCUUGACUGCGAGCGUGACGGCGCGAGCAGGUGCGAAAGCAGGUCAUAGUGAUCCGGUGGUUCUGAAUGGAAGGGCCAUCGCUCAACGGAUAAAAGGUACUCCGGGGAUAACAGGCUGAUACCGCCCAAGAGUUCAUAUCGACGGCGGUGUUUGGCACCUCGAUGUCGGCUCAUCACAUCCUGGGGCUGAAGUAGGUCCCAAGGGUAUGGCUGUUCGCCAUUUAAAGUGGUACGCGAGCUGGGUUUAGAACGUCGUGAGACAGUUCGGUCCCUAUCUGCCGUGGGCGCUGGAGAAUUGAGGGGGGCUGCUCCUAGUACGAGAGGACCGGAGUGGACGCAUCACUGGUGUUCGGGUUGUCAUGCCAAUGGCACUGCCCGGUAGCUAAAUGCGGAAGAGAUAAGUGCUGAAAGCAUCUAAGCACGAAACUUGCCCCGAGAUGAGUUCUCCCUGAGACUUUAAGUCUCCUGAAGGAACGUUGAAGACGACGACGUUGAUAGGCCGGGUGUGUAAGCGCAGCGAUGCGUUGAGCUAACCGGUACUAAUGAACCGUGAGGCUUAACCUU
This 2544-nucleotide ribosomal RNA is filed under the name Klebsiella pneumoniae. RNAcentral describes it as "23S ribosomal RNA". It matches the Rfam family "Bacterial large subunit ribosomal RNA", at positions 399 to 2925 of the family's 2925-position model. Lineage: Bacteria; Pseudomonadati; Pseudomonadota; Gammaproteobacteria; Enterobacterales; Enterobacteriaceae. The record is from RNAcentral.